GCGGCGUACCUAACACAUGCAAGUCGAACGGGGAUCACAGGGUUAGCAAUAACUCGGUGGUUCUAGUGGCGCACGGGUGAGUAACACGUGGGUAACCUGCCCUUGAGACUGGGAUACCCCCUCGAAAGGGGGGCUAAUACCGGAUACGUUCCUCGGAUCGAAAGACCUGAGGAGGAAAGGUGGCGAAAGCUGCCGCUCGUGGAGGGGCUCGCGGCCUAUCAGCUAGUUGGCGGGGUAACGGCCCACCAAGGCUAUGACGGGUAGCUGGUCUGAGAGGACGACCAGCCACACGGGGACUGAGACACGGCCCCGACUCCUACGGGAGGCAGCAGUGGGGAAUUUUCCGCAAUGGGCGAAAGCCUGACGGAGUGACGCCGCGUGUGGGACGAAGGCCUUCGGGUCGUAAACCACUGUCAGUGGGAAAGAUGGGUGUCGGCGUGAUAACCGCCGGCAUUUGACGGUACCUGCAGAGGAAGCCCCGGCUAACUCUGUGCCAGCAGCCGCGGUAAGACAGAGGGGGCAAGCGUUGCUCGGAAUUACUGGGCGUAAAGGGCGCGUAGGCGGGAUGGCAAGUCGGUCGUGAAAUCCCUCGGCUCAACUGAGGAUCGUCGAUCGAUACUGCCGUUCUUGAGGAUUGCAGAGGAGACUGGAAUUCCCGGUGUAGCGGUGAAAUGUGUAGAGAUCGGGAGGAACACCGGUGGCGAAGGCGGGUCUCUGGGCAAUUCCUGGCGCUGAGGCGCGAAAG
This 745-nucleotide ribosomal RNA is filed under the name uncultured soil bacterium. RNAcentral describes it as "bacterial SSU rRNA". It matches the Rfam family "Bacterial small subunit ribosomal RNA", at positions 39 to 759 of the family's 1533-position model. The record is from RNAcentral.